Molecule: long non-coding RNA, 945 nt
Organism: Acanthaster planci (crown-of-thorns starfish)
Lineage: Eukaryota; Metazoa; Echinodermata; Asteroidea; Valvatida; Acanthasteridae
Source: RefSeq, a predicted model, not a curated record
GUCUUUCUGAAAAAAAAAUGGGGGGGGGGGGAACAGACGAUGCCUGAUUCUAUCGGGAGAGCCAUCCGUGAUUCACCCCCAAGAGACCCGUGGACAAAAUUGAAAAGUACCGGUGGGACUGCAGGAGCUUACAGGGAGCCCGCCCUGAGCGGGGUUGGGUCCAUUGUGGGUCCGGAGACAUUGCGGUGCCAGGCCAGAGGGCCCACCAUUCCACCCUUUUUUGGGCAGGCUUUGGCGGUGUUCACUUCCCUGCUUUGUGGUGUAAGGUCACUUAAUAAAUUGUCCGGACGAUACGGUUGCUAACGAGACAAGUGAUAUUCGUUGUGAAUACACCCCCCCCCAAAAAAAAGAGAAUAGAAUAUGAUCUACAAAGGCAAAAAAAAUGACCACUAGUUGACGAGAAUAGUAAAUAAUAGACGAUGUUGAACGAAUAGAAGUACACCUAGAUUCCAAGUACUUCUGCUAUUCCAAAAAAUGGCAUAGAGUGGAACGCCGCUAUAACGAACACGACGGGGUCCACGCUAAAUUUAGCGAAAGGUCCGUGCGUGACGUCACCACGCAAAACUCUGACGCAUCGAACACCAGAUUCGUAUGGAUACGCUGCAAACAACACGUGGUGUGCGGUGGCGUGGCACACGAUGCACGUGUGUAGUACAUGUUUAUAGAUAUGCCUACUGAGCACAUUUUCGCGACUUCGUGUAUCAUCAAGAAAUUAGUCUUUGAGGAACCGCCGGCACACCUGCGUGAUGACAUUGAUGGAAUUUGGGAAGGCCUCAUUGCCAGGUGAAUGUACUGCCAUGGCUGCUGCCUACAUGAACGUUGAGGGUAGCUAGCGUCAUGGUGCAAGUGGACUGACCGAUGAUAUCUCCAAAGUGAAGAGGCAGGUUACAUCAUAAGUAGGACAGACCUCCUCAUAUGAAAGCUGUGGGUAUGCCCCAGGAGAAG